AAACUACAGAAAGUAAGUGUUCUGCAGUUUGCUUGUGGUAACACAGUUUUGCAGCAUUUUAAUUGGCUGUGAAUAUUUCUGGGAUUCAGUGAGUGGUUGUGCUGCUCAUAAGAGAAGGUUUAAAAAUAGACGAGUCUUCUAUCAAAGACUUAAACUUCAACGUUGGUAUUGAUUGCGUCGCAACACAGCAACAGAGAAAGACCAAAUGAUUGCUCUUCCCCUGACCGCCAUCGUCUUUGCCGUAGCCCUCGUUCAAGGGCAGCAACGAGAGUUUUCUUAUGGCAAACACGUGGCCAGUGACUUGGAGGCGGUUGGCUGUGGGCCCUGUGAGCAGAACAGCGAUAUGACUGCAUACAACAUCUUUGUCAAAAGGCACAUCCUGCAAGAAAACUUUGAGAGAUCUUCUCUGAAGGCAUGGAAAAGUUACCUGGAAAGUCAUGGACUCUGUGGCAGAGUUCCAGUGCAGUCCUUCAUCGAAGCUGGUGAGAAUGAGGUCCUGCAGAUCUGUCGUGAUGCCGGUCGGCGUGUGAAAGGUAACUUGUGCAUCAGUGAAUCACUCAUGACUGUACAUGAUGUUAAAUCCCAAAAAAUGGUGCACUGCAACGUUUCAAGUGUAAACUCUCCCAAAAGAAAAGUGAUUGUAGCAUGUGAUAAGAUUAAUAACCUGUGCUUCCCUGUCCAUUAUCAGACAUAUGGCUACCAACAGCCAGGAAAUGAAACGUGCAACAAAUA
Scatophagus argus is the source of this 732-nucleotide RNA transcript. RefSeq lists it as uncharacterized. Lineage: Eukaryota; Metazoa; Chordata; Actinopteri; Scatophagidae. The record is from RefSeq and is a predicted model, not a curated record. The transcript is spliced from 3 exons.